Non-coding RNA from Leptonychotes weddellii (Weddell seal), 830 nucleotides. The record is from RefSeq and is a predicted model, not a curated record. Lineage: Eukaryota; Metazoa; Chordata; Mammalia; Carnivora; Phocidae.
AGCAGUGUCUUGGAACUUCUCUUCUUGAAACCUGGACUUCCCCAAAGGCUCUUUCAUCUGUGGCAGCCCCUUCACCACCUUGGGCUCCUGCUCUACAGAUAUGUUGUCCUUGGCUGUCUUUGGAUUGGUGUGGCACAAGAUGGGACAGAAGGACUUUGAUUUUAUGGUUAAAGAAAAGGAAGAAAAACAAGAUUCUUUUUUUGCAGUUGGAAGUUAUUUUCAUGAAAGAAGACUUUAGCUUCUGAUGUUAUUAUUAAAUCAAGAUUUUGAUUUGUCUUCAUGAAAGCAACCACAUAUGACUUCAGUUGUCACAGGCUAAAGCAAAAAUAAGUGAGGUGAGCAUAACAGAUAAAGGAUGCUAUUGAAUCAAGGGGAGGCAAAAGAACAUCAGAGUGAGUUGUACAAAAAUAAGUUUUGCAAUUAGUUCAUGCUAACUUGAAGGGAUAUUGCUAAAAUGAAAAGAAACUUGGCUAUAGUAAUUUAUAUGCUGUUCACUUAAUGGGUGCUGAUUUACCACAAUAUUAAACAUAUUACCAUCAUAUGAAAUUAACGUUAAAAAUUUAAUUUUAUUAGUUUUGUGAUUCUGCUUAUGUUCAAUUUGCAAUUUCUUUUUGGUUGGCUCAGCAGGUUUGUUAGCUCAGUGGCAAGUACAAGCUGAAACCAUAGCAGAGCUACUCUUCCCAACACGGUGGGUUCUCUAACUAACCAAAAGCUCCAUUGUUACCUAGUCGCCUAGAUCAGCCCCAUAUUCAUAAAGUGAUCCGUGGACCAGCAGCACUGGUAUUCCCUGGGGGAUUUGAAGAAAUGUAGUCUUGGGCCUCGCCACCCAC